Molecule: ribosomal RNA, 450 nt
Filed under: uncultured bacterium
Lineage: Bacteria
Description: partial 16S ribosomal RNA
Rfam family: Bacterial small subunit ribosomal RNA
Source: RNAcentral
CCUACGGGCGGCUGCAGUAAGGAAUAUUGGUCAAUGGACGAAAGUCUGAACCAGCCAUGCCGCGUGGAGGAUGAAGGUCCUCUGGAUUGUAAACUUCUUUUAUAUGGGACGAAAAAAGGCCUUUCUAGGCCGUCUGACGGUACCAUAUGAAUAAGCACCGGCUAACUCCGUGCCAGCAGCCGCGGUAAUACGGAGGGUGCAAGCGUUAUUGGGAUUCACUGGUUCGUAGGGGGGUUUAUAUGUGUGGAGUAAAAUCUCCGAGCUUAACUUGGAAACUGCCAUUGAUACUAUUAAUCUUGAAUAUUGUGGAGGUUAGCGGAAUAUGUCAUGUAGCGGUGAAAUGCUUAGAUAUGACAUAGAACACCAAUUGCGAAGGCAGCUGGCUACACAUAUAUUGACACUGAGGCACGAAAGCGUGGGGAUCAAACAGGAUUAGAUACCCCGGUAGUC